AGCUAGUUGGUAGGGUAAUGGCCUACCAAGGCGACGAUGGUUAGCUGGUCUGAGAGGAUGAUCAGCCACACUGGAACUGAGACACGGUCCAGACUCCUACGGGAGGCAGCAGUGAGGAAUAUUGCGCAAUGGGGGCAACCCUGACGCAGCAACGCCGCGUGAGUGAGGAAGGUUUUCGGACCGUAAAGCUCUGUCGAGCGGGAAGAAAUGCAUGGUGGCUAAUAUCCAUCAUGCUUGACGGUACCGCUAAAGGAAGCACCGGCUAACUCCGUGCCAGCAGCCGCGGUAAUACGGGGGGUGCGAGCGUUGUUCGGAAUUAUUGGGCGUAAAGAGCGUGUAGGCGGCCGAAUAAGCCAGAUGUGAAAUCCCUGGGCUUAACCCAGGACGUGCAUUUGAAACUAUUCGGCUAGAGUAGGGGAGAGGAAAGUGGAAUUCCUGGUGUAGAGGUGAAAUUCGUAGAUAUCAGGAGGAACACCGGUGGCGAAGGCGACUUUCUGGCCCUAUACUGACGCUGAGACGCGAGAGCGUGGGUAGCAAACAGGAUUAGAUACCCUGGUAGUCCACGCUGUAAACGAUGUUCACUAGGUGUUGGGGGUAUUGACCCUCUCAGUGCCGCAGCUAACGCA
This 626-nucleotide ribosomal RNA is filed under the name uncultured bacterium. RNAcentral's name for it is "bacterial SSU rRNA". It matches the Rfam family "Bacterial small subunit ribosomal RNA", at positions 243 to 859 of the family's 1533-position model. The record is from RNAcentral.